This 253-nucleotide ribosomal RNA is filed under the name uncultured bacterium. RNAcentral's name for it is "partial 16S ribosomal RNA". It matches the Rfam family "Bacterial small subunit ribosomal RNA", at positions 524 to 776 of the family's 1533-position model. The record is from RNAcentral.
UACGUAGGGUGCAAGCGUUGUCCGGAAUUAUUGGGCGUAAAGAGCUCGUAGGCGGUCUGUCGCGUCGGCUGUGAAAACUCAGGGCUCAACCCUGAGCCUGCAGUCGAUACGGGCAGACUAGAGUUCGGUAGGGGAGACUGGAAUUCCUGGUGUAGCGGUGAAAUGCGCAGAUAUCAGGAGGAACACCGGUGGCGAAGGCGGGUCUCUGGGCCGAAACUGACGCUGAGGAGCGAAAGCGUGGGGAGCGAAUAGG